This 1170-nucleotide long non-coding RNA is filed under the name Ricinus communis (castor bean). Its description in RNAcentral is "long non-coding RNA (RCOM_LNC002133)". The record is from RNAcentral. Lineage: Eukaryota; Viridiplantae; Streptophyta; Magnoliopsida; Malpighiales; Euphorbiaceae.
AAUUUCCCAUUAUUACUCAACAUUGCUAAUUUAUUUAAAAUUUAUCAAAUAUGCAAAUCAUCUCAAUCAUUCGUAAAAUUAUCUAUUUUAACUAAAAUAAAAUUCGUAUUGAAAAGUUUAUAUAAAAUAAUAAAAACAAUUAUGAGUUAAAAGUUGCUCGAGAAGAGGCAACAGAUGAUGGAUUCUACAACAACUUCACCACAUUGGCACAAUAAAAAAAGAAACAACAAUUUACUAUAUGCAGGCCAUCUUCACCAGCCAAUGCUUCCAUAUAUUCAGUAAAAGAAAGCUACAUCAACCGAGAUAUAUAUUACAUGCAUUCAACAUAAAAUAAGAAAUUUCCGUUGUAACUUUUAGUUAGCAUAUCACAUUUAUUUUUGUUUUUAUUGAGCAUAUGUUAAGGUAGAAAAUAACAGAUCUUUAUGUUGAAAUGCCUACAAGAGAAGCAAUGGAUGCCAUUAAUUAAUUACAUCUCCAAAAGCAAAAGCAAUCUUGGUCUCCGCUUGCAUAGUUCUGUAUGCAUUUAGCAUAAAACUGGGUGUCUCCAUGCCUUUGACGGCAAGUUUGAUCGCAACCCGAAGGAGUACAUGUUGUUGAUGGAUCAAACAUAACCUCUUCGCAUAUUUUUGGCUGUGCUUCGAUCACACUUGAUGAUACUGCAAAAACAUAUAGAGGUUUCAAUAUAUAGAAAUACUCGCAAUAUAUAUGUUAAGUUAGUAGUUUAUGUUGGUGUUGAAGGAAUGCUAGCCUAAUUGAGAUGUCUAGGCGCACUGCCUAAUGUCUUUCAUCCAACAAUUUUAUUAAAAAGAAUUAGUAUAGCAUUUGCGUAAUAAGAUAAACAAGAGUUCAAAUCCGGACAAUGCUUUUCUUCUGUAAUAAUAUGUUUUUUUUUUUCAAAACAUAAGAAGAAAAUAGAGAAAGGAAGAAAUGUCCUAUUAAGUGUAUAUUUCUGGUACACUUUAGAGAUUCAAAUGGAUCAAUAACAAUUAGCUGUGAGAACAAGAACUAGAAUAAGGAAACGAGUGAAAAAAGCCAUCUCUGAUGAAGGCUGCGAUUAGCAAGAAUUUUAACUUUUAAGAGAGAAAAUAUUGAUGCAGAAGCCUUGUGAACGUCAAGUGUCUACCCUUGGCCAUUUUAGUAGUAACAAAUAUUGAGGAGCUUCUGUUUUAU